UGGGGAAUUUUGCACAAUGGGGGAAACCCUGAUGCAGCGACGCCGCGUGAUUUAGAAGGCCUUCGGGUUGUAAAAAUCUUUUCUAUGGGAAGAAAAUGACAGUACCAUAGGAAUAAGGACCGGCUAAUUACGUGCCAGCAGCCGCGGUAAUACGUAAGGUCCGAGCGUUGUCCGGAAUCAUUGGGCGUAAAGGGUACGUAGGCGGGUAAGCAAGUUAGAAGUGAAAUCCUAUAGCUCAACUAUAGUAAGCUUUUAAAACUGCACAUCUUGAAGUAUGGAAGGGAAAGUGGAAUUCCUAGUGUAGCGGUGAAAUGCGCAGAUAUUAGGAGGAAUACCGGUGGCGAAGGCGACUUUCUGGCCAUAACCUGACGCUGAGGUACGAAAGCGUGGGUAGCAAACAGG
RNAcentral lists this ribosomal RNA (402 nucleotides) under bacterium. Its description in RNAcentral is "partial 16S ribosomal RNA". It matches the Rfam family "Bacterial small subunit ribosomal RNA", at positions 355 to 776 of the family's 1533-position model. The record is from RNAcentral.